GCAAGCGUUGUCCGGAAUUAUUGGGCGUAAAGAGCUCGUAGGCGGUCUGUUGCGUCCGCUGUGAAAACUCGGGGCUUAACCCCGAGCCUGCAGUGGAUACGGGCAGACUAGAGGUAGGUAGGGGAGAAUGGAAUUCCCGGUGUAGCGGUGAAAUGCGCAGAUAUCGGGAGGAACACCGGUGGCGAAGGCGGUUCUCUGGGCCUUACCUGACGCUGAGGAGCGAAAGCGUGGGGAGCGAACAGG
This 243-nucleotide ribosomal RNA is filed under the name uncultured bacterium. RNAcentral describes it as "partial 16S ribosomal RNA". It matches the Rfam family "Bacterial small subunit ribosomal RNA", at positions 534 to 776 of the family's 1533-position model. The record is from RNAcentral.